Molecule: long non-coding RNA, 653 nt
Organism: Asterias rubens (European starfish)
Lineage: Eukaryota; Metazoa; Echinodermata; Asteroidea; Forcipulatida; Asteriidae
Exons: 6
Source: RefSeq, a predicted model, not a curated record
AUGGCCGCUUCGUGAAGAAACGAUACUUUAAAAAAACUGUUCCGAAAACAUCACGAGUUUCACGGAAAUGGGAGGUUGUAGAUGGCUCUGGAGUCUUUGACCAUUACGAGUUUAUUGCUCGAAAAUCUCGGGGCUGAGCAAGAACAAAAGCAAAGCUUGAUGAUGAAAAAGCUAAAGACCAACAGAACGAUGAGGAGGAGGAGAUGAUGAUGCUUGGCUUCGAUCAGGAAUUCUUAAAGCAAUACAGAGAGCAGAGGAUGCGAGAAAUGAUGGCCACUCUGAAGCAUAAUCGACCAUUGUUUGGUAAAGUGAUCCAGCUUAAUCGAGAGAACUUCGUGGAUGCCAUUGACAAGGAACACCAAAGUGUAGCAGUCAUCAUUCACAUUAGCUCUCCGGCAGUACCAGCAUGUGAUGUUAUGAAUGGUUGUCUCCACUGCUGCCUAGAGUAUAACCACAUCAAGUUUUGCUACAUACAUGCAUCAGACGUCAACAUAGUCUGAACUCUAUCCAAAAUGGCCGACCAGCUCGGAAGACUUUUAUGCUGGCGACCUGGAGACCUACCUGCAAAAAGCUUUAUUUACACUCAAAAAGACACUGAAAUUACACGAAAGAGAUGGUCUAAGCCAGAGAGUGCCCUUUCUGGCGAGCAGAUU